AUCCUUUUCCGGUUCAUGAGCAUGAUGAUUGUGUGUCCACAUGGCUGUGUGACAUGUGCCUCCCCCUCACCUCAGUAAUA
Molecule: small nucleolar RNA, 80 nt
Filed under: Sorex araneus (European shrew)
Lineage: Eukaryota; Metazoa; Chordata; Mammalia; Eulipotyphla; Soricidae
Description: Small nucleolar RNA U13 (ENSSARG00000019580.1)
Rfam family: Small nucleolar RNA U13
Source: RNAcentral